GGCUMGUUAAUGGGCCGUUCUUUCGACAGCGGGCUCCUUCGGGGGCUUGCGACGCCACCAAAAUGCGGGAAUUGCUUGGCCAUUCGCGCCUGGUGAAUCCGCAGCCAGCCAGCCGCUGGUUCAACGACUAAAUAGUACAGGCCGCUAAACAGCGGCUGARAUAUAGUCUGAACACCUGGAGAGAUUCAGGCGUCCCUUGCAUUAAAUCAGUUAUCGUUUAUUUGAUAGUACCUCACUACUUGGAUAACCGUGGUAAUUCUAGAGCUAAUACAUGCUAAAAACCCCGACUUCGGAAGGGGUGUAUUUAUUAGAUAAAAAACCAAUGCCCUCCGGGGCUCCUUGGUGAUUCAUAAUAACUUAACGAAUCGCAUGGCCUUGCGCCGGCRAUGGUUCAUUCAAWUUUCUGCCCUAUCAACUUUCGAUGGUAGGAUAGUGGCCUACCAUGGKGGCAACGGGUAACGGGGAAUUAGGGUUCUAUUCCGGAGAGGGAGCCUGAGAAACGGCUACCACAUCCAAGGAAGGCAGCAGGCGCGCAAAUUACUCAWUCCCRACACGGGGAAGUAGUGACAAUAAAUACUGAUACAGGGCUCUUUUGGGUCUUGUAAUUGGAAUGAGUACAAUUUAAAUCCCUUACGAUUCUGUUAGGGGAUUUCUCGAGUCGUCUGCUGAUGGCAACACCCUCUGUCUACGAGGAUCACCCCCCCCGGGGGUGAGAUUCGCAGCUCGACCUGCGGUCGAGCCAAGAGACUAAAUCAGGGUGGGUGGUCAGGCCMACUUUAUAAUAUAGCCCACCCCCCCCGCGACCGCGGGGGGUCACCGUGUAACGAGGAACAAUUGGAGGGCAAGUCUGGUGGACCAGCUGGCGCCAGACCACACAGGUGGGCCACCUCGCCGAGGUGGCCCGCCAGGCAUCCGGUACGGGRAARAGCCUCARGGCUUCAUCCGKGGCGAGGGGCGACC
Molecule: ribosomal RNA, 960 nt
Filed under: Xylographa vitiligo
Lineage: Eukaryota; Fungi; Ascomycota; Lecanoromycetes; Baeomycetales; Xylographaceae
Description: bacterial SSU rRNA
Rfam family: Eukaryotic small subunit ribosomal RNA
Source: RNAcentral